Molecule: ribosomal RNA, 496 nt
Filed under: uncultured bacterium
Lineage: Bacteria
Description: partial 16S ribosomal RNA
Rfam family: Bacterial small subunit ribosomal RNA
Source: RNAcentral
GAUGAACGCUGGCGGCGUGCCUAAUACAUGCAAGUCGAGCGAACAGACGAGGAGCUUGCUCCUCUGACGUUAGCGGCGGACGGGUGAGUAACACGUGGAUAACCUACCUAUAAGACUGGGAUAACUUCGGGAAACCGGAGCUAAUACCGGAUAACAUGUUGAACCGCAUGGUUUAACAGUGAAAGACGGUCUUGCUGUCACUUAUAGAUGGAUCCGCGCCGCAUUAGCUAGUUGGUAAGGUAACGGCUUACCAAGGCAACGAUGCGUAGCCGACCUGAGAGGGUGAUCGGCCACACUGGAACUGAGACACGGUCCAGACUCCUACGGGAGGCAGCAGUAGGGAAUCUUUCGCAAUGGGCGAAAGCCUGACGGAGCAACGCCGCGUGAGUGAAGAAGGUCUUCGGAUCGUAAAACUCUGUUAUUAGGGAAGAACAAAUGUGUAAGUAACUAUGCACGUCUUGACGGUACCUAAUCAGAAAGCCACGGCUAACUACGU